AAACGCUUGGCUGGCAUGCCUAAUACAUGCAAGUCGAACGAACCAUCCUGAUGAUUGAAGCUUGCUUCAUGAUUCAGAUCUUGGUGAGUGGCGGACGGGUGAGUAACACGUGGGUAACCUGCCCAGAAGUGGGGGAUAACAUUUGGAAACAAGUGCUAAUACCGCAUAACAACUUAGAUCACAUGAUCUUUGUUUAAAAGAUGGUUUUGCUAUCUCUUCUGGAUGGACCCGCGGCGUAUUAGCUAGUUGGUGAGGUAAUAGCUCACCAAGGCGAUGAUACGUAGCCGACCUGAGAGGGUAAUCGGCCACAUUGGGACUGAGACACGGCCCAAACUCCUACGGGAGGCAGCAGUAGGGAAUCUUCCACAAUGGACGAAAGUCUGAUGGAGCAAUGCCGCGUGAGUGAAGAAGGUUUUCGGAUCGUAAAACUCUGUUGUUGAAGAAGAAUAUAUGUGAGAGUAACUGUUCACGUACUGACGGUAUUCAACCAGAAAGCCACGGCUAACUACGUGCCAGCAGCCGCGGUAAUACGUAGGUGGCAAGCGUUGUCCGGAUUUAUUGGGCGUAAAGAGAAUGUAGGCGGUUUAUUAAGUUUGAAGUGAAAGCCCUCGGCUCAACCGAGGAAGUGCUUCGAAAACUGGUAAACUUGAGUGCAGAAGAGGAAAGUGGAACUCCAUGUGUAGCGGUGGAAUGCGUAGAUAUAUGGAAGAACACCAGUGGCGAAGGCGGCUUUCUGGUCUGUAACUGACGCUGAGAUUCGAAAGCAUGGGUAGCAAACAGGAUUAGAUACCCUGGUAGUCCAUGCCGUAAACGAUGAGUGCUAAGUGUUGGAGGGUUUCCGCCCUUCAGUGCUGCAGCUAACGCAUUAAGCACUCCGCCUGGGGAGUACGAUCGCAAGAUUGAAACUCAAAGGAAUUGACGGGGGCCCGCACAAGCGGUGGAGCAUGUGGUUUAAUUCGAAGCAACGCGAAGAACCUUACCAGGUCUUGACAUACCAUGAAAAGCUUAGAGAUAAGUCUUUCCCUUCGGGGACAUGGAUACAGGUGGUGCAUGGUUGUCGUCAGCUCGUGUCGUGAGAUGUUGGGUUAAGUCCCGCAACGAGCGCAACCCUUAUUAUCAGUUGCCAGCAUUCAGUUGGGCACUCUGGUGAGACUGCCGGUGAUAAACCGGAGGAAGGUGGGGACGACGUCAAAUCAUCAUGCCCCUUAUGACCUGGGCUACACACGUGCUACAAUGGUCGGUACAACGUGCUGCGAACUCGCGAGGGCAAGCAAAUCACUUAAAACCGAUCUCAGUUCGGAUUGUAGGCUGCAACUCGCCUACAUGAAGCUGGAAUCGCUAGUAAUCGCGGAUCAGCAUGCCGCGGUGAAUACGUUCCCGGGCCUUGUACACACCGCCCGUCACACCAUGAGAGUUUGUAACACCCAAAGUCGGUGGGGUAACCCUUCGGGGAACUAGCCGCCUAAGGUGGGACACAAUGCA
RNAcentral lists this ribosomal RNA (1482 nucleotides) under Companilactobacillus paralimentarius. RNAcentral's name for it is "bacterial SSU rRNA". It matches the Rfam family "Bacterial small subunit ribosomal RNA". The record is from RNAcentral. Lineage: Bacteria; Bacillati; Bacillota; Bacilli; Lactobacillales; Lactobacillaceae.